GUAGGGGACAAGCGUUAUCCGGAUUUACUGGGCGUAAAGCGCCCGUAGGCGGCUCAACAAGUUGGACGUGAAAGCUCCCGGCUUAACUGGGAGAGGCCGUUCAAAACUGUAGAGCUAGAGUGAGGCAGAGGAGCGCGGAAUUCCCGGUGUAGUGGUGGAAUGCGUAGAUAUCGGGAGGAACACCAGUGGCGAAAGCGGCGCUCUGGGUCUAAACUGACGCUGAGGGGCGAAAGCGUGGGGAGCGAACGGGAUUAGAUACCCCGGUAGUCCACGCCGUAAACGAUGGAGACUAGGUGUAGGUGGAUAGAACCCCAUCUGUGCCGAAGCCAACGCGUUAAGUCUCCCGCCUGGGGAGUACGGCCGCAAGGUUAAA
This 373-nucleotide ribosomal RNA is filed under the name uncultured bacterium. Its description in RNAcentral is "bacterial SSU rRNA". It matches the Rfam family "Bacterial small subunit ribosomal RNA", at positions 527 to 898 of the family's 1533-position model. The record is from RNAcentral.